AAACGGAAGGAUGGUCUCAUUGGUAGCUGAAGGAGGAAGAAGUUAUGCUGCUGGUCAUAGCAAUGAUGCACCUUGCUGUCUAUGAAAGCUGUGAUUUAAUAAAGCAUGUAGAGAGUUGAUGGCUUUUCAUUUAAAGAUUUAAAUGUGAGUUCUUUGAUCUAUACUUGUUUUUUCUUUCCUAUAAAUAGUAGGUUUUAAAGUAUAAUUUUACUUUUCUCAAAAUAACCUUACUUGGAAAAUGGAAAUGAACCCAGGAUGGAACAUGAAUGACUUAAAUAAACUUCUCCAUUCUUGAUUCUGUUUUAAUGCCUUUACAUACCACUUUAAAUUACUGUAUUACAAUGUUUUGUAUCUAUUCAGCUUUAUAUAGCCCUAUAUUUAAAAAUCUGUACUCUUUAGAUCUACUUUUCCUGUUUGUAAUAAAUGUUGGUCCAUGUCUGUGUGAUUAUUCAGAUUUUACUCUAAAACUCUUCUUAUUCUAUUGUUUCACAAAUUCAUAAAUAUAGAGAAAAAUAAUAGGAAUUACUUGCAACCAUAACAGUGACCCGAUAUCUGAAAGUGCUUUGGUUAAUUAUAGUACUGUUUUACAAAUGAAAGAAGUAUUUGCAUACUUACUGUUACAAAUAGCAAAUUAUUUUUGUUUUAUUGCAUCUUUUUCCUUUUACUCACUCAUUGGUGUAGCACUCAUGUUUAAGUGUUGUCACUGUUAUUAGCAGUCUAUAGUUUUUUUCUCCUGUGAUCCAGGCUUUUCAUACUAAAACUUUGCGAAAGAUAAUAGUUCAGAUAAUAGUUUCUUUAAAUAAAACCUAUAAUUUGUAUCAUCUAGGAAAGAUUCUUUUCUCUGACAUUUAGCCAUUUCUUGUUUUUAGGUAAAGUAUUCUGCUAAAGUUCUUUAAAACUUUCAACUUUAAUUUCAUAUUAUCUGUGUGUAUGCCUGCUCACACAUGUGCCGUUACUUGUCUGUGAAGGUCAUUAGACAAUUCUCUUUCUACCAGUAGGGACUAGGAAUCAGACUUAGAUUGUCAAACCUGGUAGCCAUGCCAAGCAAGUUUACCCCCUGAGCCAUCUCAUCAGUCCUGGGUUUUUUAACUUAUAAAGCAGAAUUAUUCACAGCACUUAAGUGGCUGAAGUAGGCAUAUUGUCACAAGUGCUAGAGUAGACAGCUGCUAGUAAUUUUCAUCCUAGUUUGGACUACAUUGAAAAAGACCUGUGUCAAAUACUCAAAAAGAAUCUGAAAAUUAAGAAAAGGACUAAGUAGAUUUAUGAUAUAUGUACAGAUCUAAAAUUAACUGAACUAGAACUCAGAUCAUUCAAUUUGAAGUUUUCCUGAAAAUAUUAGUGUUUUAGCCUGAAUUUACACCUUUGUGGAAUAGCAUAGUAUGUAAUUUUUUUUAACUCAGAAUGUAGGCAUAGUCCUUUGGGAUGGCUCAGUAGUUAAUAUCAGAUGGGACUCUGGUUGAGGAGUUUAGUUUCUAGUACUUGCAUCAGGAAACUCACAACUGCCUGUAACUCCAGCCCCAGAGAAUCCAGUGAUCUCUUUUGCAUUCCAGUGUCAACUGCACUCAAGUGUACACAAUCCCCAAACAGACAGACAUACACAUAAUGAAAAUAAAAUCAAUCUUAUUUUUAAAAUAUUUAGGCUUUAUGUAUUAUGACUGUUUUGUAUGUAUGUAUGUGUGUAUGUAUGUUGUGCAUCGUGUAUGCCUGGUGUCCAGAGGUCAGAACAAGCCAUCAUAUUCUGUAGAUAUUGCAAAUUUUGUGAGCUACCCUGUGGAUUCUGGGAACAAGACUCAUGUCUUCUUGUUGCUCUUAAUCUCCGAGCCAUCUCGUGUGUGUGUGUGUGUGUGUGUGUGUGUGUGUGUGUGUGUGUUUUAAUUAUAGAGGAUAAUUUUGGUAUAUGGGUUCCUCCCAUCCCUAGAGAUGAGAUACCCCAAUAUGCUAUCUAUGAGUAAACAAAACAGUUCAGUUGUUUCACAAUAUUGUCUAUUCAACUUCCAUAUUUGGAAAUAGAAAUAAUUUUAGCACACAGGAGACUUUUCGAGGUUCCAUAACUAUGAACAUGUAGCAGUUGACUUUUAUUAAAAAGCAAAAGGGCCAUGUAAUGCCCCCUUUCCUUCUGUUUUCCCUCUUUAAGACAUGAUAUCUCAGACUCUUGCAUGCUGGGAUUACAGGCCUGGGCCACAUGGUGAUGUUUUGAAUGAACUUUGAGCUGGUAGGAUGUAGGCACUCGCCCACAAGCCUGGCCGCUUGAGUUCAAUCCAUUACAGGCAUAGUCUACCACACUGAGGUGGGCUAGUUUGUUUUUAAUUAUUGCAUAUGUGGAGUACCACAGCAUUCAGAGAUCAGAAAACUUGGGAGUUGGUUCUCUCCCUCCCACUGAUUGUUUCAGGGAUUGAACUCAGGUUGCCAUGCCUGUAUGACAAGGAAUUUUAUACUCUAUUGUCUCUGUGGUCCUAUUCUAUUCUGAGACUGUCACUAUGAAACCCAGGCUGGUCUCAGACUCUACAGUCCUCCCUGUCCUCCCAAAUGCUGACAUAGACGCUACUAUGCCUCAGUAAAAAGCUGCACUCUUAAGCGUAUUACUGAACUGGUUUUCUCUUAGAAAAUUCCUAGCAAGAAGCAAGUAGUUGGCUAGUAUAAUAGGUUAAAGUCUAUGGCUGCUGCUCCAUCUACUGGGAUGCACAGCCAUUUGCAAAGAUAGUGAAUGUUUGUCUUGGCUGCACCUUGUUGG
Molecule: long non-coding RNA, 2731 nt
Filed under: Mus musculus (house mouse)
Lineage: Eukaryota; Metazoa; Chordata; Mammalia; Rodentia; Muridae
Description: long non-coding RNA chr2:104612787-104615518
Source: RNAcentral